GACGAACGCUGGCGGCGUGCUUAACACAUGCAAGUCGAACGGAAAGGCCCUGCUUUUGUGGGGUGCUCGAGUGGCGAACGGGUGAGUAACACGUGAGUAACCUGCCCUUGACUUUGGGAUAACUUCAGGAAACUGGGGCUAAUACCGGAUAGGAGCUCCUGCUGCAUGGUGUGGGUUGGAAAGUUUCGGCGGUUGGGGAUGGACUCGCGGCUUAUCAGCUUGUUGGUGGGGUAGUGGCUUACCAAGGCUUUGACGGGUAGCCGGCCUGAGAGGGUGACCGGCCACAUUGGGACUGAGAUACGGCCCAGACUCAUACGGGAGGCAGCAGUGGGGAAUAUUGCACAAUGGGCGGAAGCCUGAUGCAGCAACGCCGCGUGCGGGAUGACGGCCUUCGGGUUGUAAACCGCUUUCGCCUGUGACGAAGCGUGAGUGACGGUAAUGGGUAAAGAAGCACCGGCUAACUACGUG
RNAcentral lists this ribosomal RNA (468 nucleotides) under uncultured bacterium. RNAcentral's name for it is "partial 16S ribosomal RNA". It matches the Rfam family "Bacterial small subunit ribosomal RNA", at positions 28 to 507 of the family's 1533-position model. The record is from RNAcentral.